This 254-nucleotide ribosomal RNA is filed under the name uncultured bacterium. RNAcentral's name for it is "partial 16S ribosomal RNA". It matches the Rfam family "Bacterial small subunit ribosomal RNA", at positions 524 to 776 of the family's 1533-position model. The record is from RNAcentral.
UACGUAGGGUGCGAGCGUUAAUCGGAAUUACUGGGCGUAAAGUGUGCGCAGGCGGCCGAGCAAGUCGAGUGUGAAAUCCCCGGGCUUAACUUGGGAAUUGCGCUCGAAACUACCUGGCUUGAGUGUGGCAGAGGAAGGUGGAAUUCCACGUGUAGCGGUGAAAUGCGUAGAGAUGUGGAGGAACACCGAUGGCGAAGGCAGCCUUCUGGGCCAACCACUGACGCUCAUGCACGAAAGCGUGGGGAGCAAACAGG